CCCUAAGUGUUAACUAAGUGGCAAACGAUGUUUGAGUGCAUAGACAGCCAGGAGGUUGGCUUAGAGGCAGCCACCCUUUAAAGAGUGCGUAAUAGCUCACUGGUCUAGUGCUCGAGCGCGGAUAAUGUAACGGGGCUCAAGUUAACCACCGAAGCUGCGGGUGCACACUUUUGUGUGCGCGGUAGGAGAGCGUUCGCUAUAGGUUGAAGCGGCAGGGGAACCUCGCCGUGGACAGUAGUGAAGUGAGAAUGCUGGCAUGAGUAACGAAAGACAGGUGAGAAUCCUGUCCACCGAUUAUCUAAGGUUUCCUGGGCAACGUUCGUCGGCUCAGGGUUAGUCGGGACCUAAGGCGAGGCCGCAAGGCGUAGUCGAUGGCCAACAGGUUGAUAUUCCUGUACCACGUAGCAAUCGUUAUGACCGAUUGGGGGGACGAGGAAGGCUAGAGCAUCUCCGGCGUUAGUUGUCCGGGGACAAGCGUGUAGGGGGGACCGCGAUAAAUGCACGGUCCCAUUAACCCGAGACGUGAUGUGAGGAGGCUUUCGAGCCUCCGACUGCUUGACGCCAUGCCUCCAAGAAAAGCCUCGUAGGCAGAUUGCGCGUGCCCGUACCAAAACCGACACAGGUGGAUAAGUAGAGAAUACUAAGGUGAUCGAGAUAACCCUCGUUAAGGAACUCGGCAAAAUGGCUCCGUAACUUCGGGAUAAGGAGCGCCCUAUUAGAGUGAAGGCACUUGCUGCUGGAGCUCGAGGGGGCCGCAGUGAAAAGGUCCAAGCGACUGUUUACCAAAAACACAGGUCUCUGCUAAGUCGUAAGACGACGUAUAGGGGCUGACGCCUGCCCGGUGCCGGAAGGUUACGUGGAGAUGUUAGGUUCGCCGAAGCAUCGAAACUAAGCCCCGGUAAACGGCGGCCGUAACAAUAACGGUCCUAAGGUAGCGAAAUUCCUUGUCGGGUAAGUUCCGACCUGCACGAAUGGCGUAACGACUUGGACGCUGUCUCAACGAGGGGCUCGGUGAAAUUGCAGUCUCGGUGAAGAUGCCGAGUACUCGCAGCUAGACGGAAAGACCCCGUGAACCCUUACUGCACCCUGGUAUUGGCAUUCGAUCCAUUUUGCUCAGGAUAGGUGGGAGACGUUGAAGCAUCGGCUGCGGCUGGUGUGGAGUCAACCUUGAGAUACCACCCCUGAUGUAUUGGAUGUCUAACUGGUAACCGUGAUCCGGUGCCGGAACAGUGCCAGGCGGGUAGUUUGACUGGGGCGGUCGCCUCCUAAAAUGUAACGGAGGCGCGCAAAGGUUCCCUCAGUACGGUCGGAAAUCGUACGUAGAGUGUAAAAGCAAUAAGGGAGCUUGACUGCGAGACUGACAAGUCGAGCAGGUGCGAAAGCAGGCUUUAGUGAUCCGGCGGUAGCAAGUGGAAGCGCCGUCGCUCAACGGAUAAAAGGUACUCCGGGGAUAACAGGCUUAUCGGGCCCAAGAGUCCACAUCGACGGCCCGGUUUGGCACCUCGAUGUCGGCUCGUCGCAUCCUGGGGCC
This 1531-nucleotide ribosomal RNA is filed under the name metagenome. Its description in RNAcentral is "bacterial LSU rRNA". It matches the Rfam family "Bacterial large subunit ribosomal RNA", at positions 1046 to 2554 of the family's 2925-position model. The record is from RNAcentral.